GAAAUGCAGCAGAAAUUAAUGAGAAGGAACAACAAGAAAUGUGGUGAAGCCAUGUCUGUAGCUCUCUUGUUAGGAAAUUAUUUGACUUCCUUAAAGGUUUCCGUCUCCUUAAAAUGCCAGCUUCAAUGAAUACACCCUUAAAUGACACGUUUGUGCCUGCUGUUUGCGUCAUAUCUGCCUGUGUGAUCUCGUUCAGGUUUCUUCGGAGCUCCAUUUACUCAGUGGGAAAAAAUUAUCGGUAGCCAGAUACAUUAAGAACACAUACUGAAGAACAUUUUCCACACUCAUGUUAUGAAAGCAAGGACAGAUGAUCUAAUCCCAUUUUUACAAAAUGUGAAAUGUGAAAAAUGUGAUCAAUAUGCGUUUGCGCUGCCAACGGCCUCACAAUUUACUACUUCUACGCACUGUGGGCCUGCACAGGUAAGUUUCCUGGCAGGUGACUUUAGGCAAUACCAUUCAGGGAAAUGAAGUGACUGUUGUGUAAAGAAAUUAAAUCUCGUAUGGUUUCCAAAUCCUCCUGUGCUGACUUGUCCUUUCCAUUUGUCCCUCUUCUUUGUUGCUCUCUCUCUCUCCUGCAGGGGACUGCAGCGUUUGCUGUAAACUCAAACAGCUUUUAUCCAACUGCAAUAACACGUCUGAAUACUGCUACAAUAAAAUCUCCAUCACGCCACUCGUAUUAAUCUAUUCGCUGACUGAAGUAUGUAUGUGGGAAUGUAUGUGAAUGUUUGCUGAUACUAUUCUUAUUAGCACUUUAAGUAUUUUAUAUAUUUUAUUUUUUGAUUUUAUUGAAUUUUAUUGUUUUAUUUAUAUUUUGAUAUUGUUAGGGAUGAUGCACUGAUCGGGAACCAUUUUUAAUUUCGUUGUACCUGUGACAAUGACAAUAAAGACAUUCUAAUUCUGAGUUUCUGCCCUUUAAUUUUGCACAUCUGGAGGAGCAAAGUUCACCUGUUUGCAAUCAUGUCAUCUCCUUGCUCCUAUUUAAAGUUGAGGUAGCUUUGCUGUUGAUGGCUGAUUGCUGCACUGAUCCUGAUAGUGAAACUGGUUCCUUUUGUCUGAAUCUUUCUUUCUGAGAAGCCAUGUAGAUCUGAGGGACAAUCUGAACAGUGAUGAUCCAGACGAAAAUUCUCUCAGUACCUUUAUUUCUCAUAUUAAUGAUAAUAUCAUAAAACUGUUUAUUUAAGGUAAACCUGUAUUUCCUCAACAGUAAAAAAAUCCAGACUAUCAACACAGUCAUGCACAGUCGAGGAGCGUGUGAGGAUACAUUUCACUGCAUGUUGUACUGG
This is a long non-coding RNA of Astatotilapia calliptera (eastern happy), 1283 nucleotides long. Lineage: Eukaryota; Metazoa; Chordata; Actinopteri; Cichliformes; Cichlidae. The record is from Ensembl.